RNAcentral lists this transfer RNA (72 nucleotides) under Camelus bactrianus (Bactrian camel). It matches the Rfam family "tRNA". Rfam says of the family: Transfer RNA (tRNA) molecules are approximately 80 nucleotides in length. RNAcentral also lists the same sequence under 2 other names. The record is from Rfam by way of RNAcentral. Lineage: Eukaryota; Metazoa; Chordata; Mammalia; Artiodactyla; Camelidae.
GAGGGUGUAGCUCAGUGGUAGAGCACACGUCCAGCACACAUGAGGCCCUGGGUUCAAUCCCCAGGACCUCCA